CUGAACUAAAACCCCAAAUCCCUUAUCCGAACGCGGGUCCUUUCUCAUCAGUGACGAGAGAGAGCAGACCAUGGUCCAAUAGUCUUGUUUCAGACAUUGGAAAUCACUAUCCGCAGAAAUUUCUCCCUCGAAAACUCGAAGAAGAUGUUAUCCAUGGCAAUUCAAUCUGGUGUUAGGAGUGUUUUCACGCAAUUCCCAUUUCCUUGUCAGACCAUCAGUUGCAAGAGAAUCAAAACUAGCAUUUUCAUUGGUCCCAAACCCAAUGCAGCCAUUAUUGACCCAAAAAUCAGACCCAUUUCCAGAAACCAAAGAUUAAAAGGUUUUGCAGCGCCAGAAGCUCUGGCGGCUAAAACAACCAAUGAAGCAGAAGAAACCACGGAAGUGGAAGAAGAACCAAUCCCUGACCAAGGAAAAGAGAGAGUUGAAGUGUCGGUGAAGCAAGCGGAUAAACCAAGGCUGGUGCUGAAGUUCAUAUGGAUGGAGAAGAAUAUUGGGCUGGCUCUUGAUCAGGUAAUUCCUGGACAUGGUACUGUUCCCUUGAGUCCAUACUACUUCUGGCCAAGAAAGGAUGCAUGGGAAGAGCUCAAGACCACUCUAGAGAGCAAACCAUGGAUAUCCCAGAAGCAGAUGAUCAUACUUCUCAAUCAGGCCACUGAUAUCAUCAAUUUGUGGCAGCAAAGUGGUGGCAAUCUUACCACAUAAUGGAACAGACAUUUUGGUUUAUUUUGCAGUUAAUUGUUAGUGUUUAGGUGUUGAGUUAGCUAAUUUGCUUACGGAUAUCCUUUUGUACCAUUGGUUCUAGUAUAAUUGAGGAAUGAAUUAUGUUCAUGGUUGUGGGUAUUUGCAUUUGCUGGUUGCUGUAACCUUGCCAUAUUCAUUGAUGCAUGAAUUCUCGAUUGGUAUUAUCUUAGUUUUUAAGAUUUGGAAUUUGGUGUUUUUCCCCUAGUGGGAGCUCAACAAUGUGUGAAUUUAGCGGGAUCCAAUUCUACAAAUCAUGUUUUUCCAAUUAAGGCAUUUGCAAUUAAUUAAUGUUGAUGCAAUUCGACUUUCGAC
RNAcentral lists this unclassified non-coding RNA (1053 nucleotides) under Hevea brasiliensis (rubber tree). The record is from RNAcentral. Lineage: Eukaryota; Viridiplantae; Streptophyta; Magnoliopsida; Malpighiales; Euphorbiaceae.